This is a long non-coding RNA of Maniola jurtina (meadow brown), 110 nucleotides long. RefSeq lists it as uncharacterized. The transcript is spliced from 3 exons. Lineage: Eukaryota; Metazoa; Arthropoda; Insecta; Lepidoptera; Nymphalidae. The record is from RefSeq and is a predicted model, not a curated record.
GGUAACUUCUAACCAAACGUCGAGGCUACGACGUCACUGGCAGGCGUCUAAUACAUUUGAUGCAGGUAGCCUUGAAGUAGCACUAUUUUUAACCCCCAACCCAAAAAGAG